This 195-nucleotide ribosomal RNA is filed under the name uncultured crenarchaeote. RNAcentral's name for it is "partial 16S ribosomal RNA". It matches the Rfam family "Archaeal small subunit ribosomal RNA", at positions 472 to 667 of the family's 1478-position model. Lineage: Archaea; Thermoproteati; Thermoproteota. The record is from RNAcentral.
AAUACCAGCUCUCCGAGUGGUGUGGAUGUUUAUUGGGCCUAAAGCAUCCGUAGCUGGCUAGGUAAGUCCCUUGUUAAAUCCACCGAAUUAAUCGUUGGAUCGCGGGUGAUACUGCUUGGCUAGGGGACGAGAGAGGCAGACGGUAUUUUCGGGGUAGGGGUGAAAUCCUAUAAUCCCGGGAAGACCACCAGUGGC